Molecule: long non-coding RNA, 411 nt
Filed under: Mytilus galloprovincialis (Mediterranean mussel)
Lineage: Eukaryota; Metazoa; Mollusca; Bivalvia; Mytilida; Mytilidae
Source: RNAcentral
CAGUAAGACCCCUUUUUGGCCCCAAAAUAUAGCAGUUUUACAAAACUGUUAAAAUGUAAACUUUUAGUUAUUAAUUGGACAGUAGAAUGCUUCUGCUACAUAAAUAUGGGCUGUUUUUGACAAUACAAUGCACAUAUAUCGGGUACUAGCACCAUUAAGUCAUGCUAAAUUACUGAAAUCUUCACAAUUCUAGCAUUUUAGUUAAAUUUUAGACGGUUUUCGUGUAAAACGGAAGUGGCCGCAUUCGUGUUCAUCCUUAAUAUUGAAAUGCAAGUUGUAUUUUAUGAUAAUACAUAACAUAUAUAAAGGUUGAGGAUGAACACGGAUGCGGCCACUUUCAAUUUUGACAAAAACCGUCUGAAAAGUGACAUUUUUCGGCAUAUUUGGUAGAUUUUUCAUAUUUGAGCUUGA